GUGGGAACGGGAGUUCAUCAGAUCAGACCGUACGCUGACAGAGAAAAAGUUCCCAUCCGAAAUGGUGGCCCAGUCUUCCCUUCUUCAUCGGAGCAAAAUUCCAAAUGGCUUUGAAAAUUUUGUAAGCGCAACCCACGGAUGGGGAUUGGCACUGGCAGCUACUCCUACGCAACGGAAUCAGGUGGGGAUCGUGUGGAAUUUUGGGUAUUUGAGCCGACUACAGAGCCUAAUGCACCAAUCACUGCCCUCCACCUGUGUCCCAGUGGCUGCUGUCGCCGACGUUGAGAAAUAGAAAGUAGAAACCACACUCCUUGUCGGUGUUUUCUUGAGUCAAAUCUCUAAAGUGGGUGCGGGAAUGAAUUCAAGGGAGGCUUCAUCCGAACAUAUUUGUUGGCGCUGGUAGGAACUUCCCAUCAAUUUCUCUUCUUCCUAUAUAACGCUGAUUUUUUUGAAGAAAGCUGCAUAUCCAGUUUUAGGUCACAUUUCCUUUUCUCUCUCCAUUGUACUCCUAAAUACCCUGUCAUCCAUAUAAUUGAUUACCCAAUUCGGUUCCAUUGUCAUGGCGCUUGGAGAGUUGGAGAGGAAGUUUGAAGAGUUGAAAGAUAUCAAUGAGAAGCAAGAAUCAAGGGUGCGUUACUAUGAGACCAAAGUCCAGAACAUCGUUUUUGGCUACCUCAUUUUCACACGCUUGUUCUUCUUUGGUAUCUCUCAGACUUCUUCCUCCUUCAACUGCAAGGAUUGGAUCAUUUUUUUUCUUUCCGAAGGUUGGAUUUCUAUGUUUCAUAACUCCAGCCCCUUGCCACAAACUUAAGAGCAUACAGAUUCCUCCCUCAUAUAUGAUCUUCAAGACAUCAUUGGUAAAGAAGAGAUUUCUCUGAGGCAGAAAUGUGGACUAACGAGGGGGAGCAGUGCAAAAUAGAGCAAAUGAGGGAGCGCAUAUUGUUAUGGAGAACCACUUCCUAACUAUAUUGCCAAAAUGCAGGAUAUUAUCUGUUGACGAAAGAGCACGAUUGGAAGAUCACAAAUGCGUUCGUAUAUCUCGGAAUUUUGUUGUUAUGGAGAAAAGGAAUACUGCAUCUUCAACCACGAAGCGAUUUCCUUUUAACACAUUUGCUCUGGCUCUAUCUUGGUAAAAAAAGACUCUUAUUUCCUAAAUCAUGCUGACGGGUCGGUAUAGCCAGUGACUGACAAAAAUGUCGAGAAAACUUCCAUUUCUUAUUUCAACACUCUAUUCUAAAGCUCCAAGAACUAGAUUUAUAUCCCUUAAUCCUGAGGUGCAGAAUGCCUUUUUGGAGGCUAAUUUAAUUGGACUUGAAACCUACCAAGCCAUCAAAAGCUUGUUCCAGACGAUUUCAUGGCCAAAUUCUUUGAAAACUUACGUAACAUCCUCAAAAUCUAACAUUUUGAUAUUGUUCCAGGUCUUUGUGACUCAAUUUGGAGCUUUGAAAGUUGGAGAGGAUAAUGGCUCUCAUUUUUCUUCCUCAUCUCAAUUUGGAGUCUUCUGUUCAUGACUCGUGAAUGAAGGAAAAAAAAAAGGAAGGGAGAAGAUAAAAAGAAGUAAUAGGCAAAAUGGAGAUGAUCCCAAAGGAAGUUCCCCAGUUGGUCUCACUCACCCUCAAUUUGCAGAACGUGCUACAAGUCUGAGGAGUUCUUACUCAUUUGCCGCCUCUUCCUUCAUUUUCCUUUGCCUGGAAUGGUGGUACCAUCUUUUUCAGAUCUUUAAUGUUUCGGUAUCUAUACCAAACUGCAUAAAUUGAUGAAUUUUUUAAGGUUUGUUGGGUAUGAGGUAUAAAAACAAAGCGAAAGUGCUGUGGAACUGUUUUUUUUGGGAUAUUUUGUGAUUGAUAUGGAAAGAAAGGAACAGACGAGUUUUUUAAGAUUUAGAUUCUUUUUCUGCUGAGGAUUUUUUUGUGGCGCAAUGUACAUCAUAUAUGUCUUCGUGAUAUUAUAUCAUUAUCUGUAUUAGUGAUAUUUUGUUGAUAUUUUUCUAUAUUUUGUCAAAUUUUUAUAAUACUAUGAAAAUUUCGCUUUACCCUUCACAUUGAUGUCGAAGCUAUAUGGACACAUGGGAAUGUUCAUGAAAAUUUAAUACUCUUACUGUUGGCAAGGACUUGAGGUCUCGUGGUUUUAGAUGUCUCAAAUUUUGAGCCUUAAGGUGAGUUUAAUGCAAAAAAAUUCUUGAUGUUUUUUGGUCCGAGUCUUGGGACAGGCACAGGUACUCCCAGAUAUAGGGAAAGAAAGCUCCGACUUUCGGGUUAUCAAGGAAAAAAAAAAGAAAAAAAGAUUUUUGAAGUUUAGUGAUGGAAUUGGAGUCAUGACCGAAAAUCGAGAUUCAGCCAACUCGAAGAUAUUUUGUAUUUUUUAAUGGAAUUUUGUAAAUCUCAAUAGUGGAAUGUUUGUUUACUUAAAAAAAUGUUUAGAAUAUUGUCGAAUAUGUUUUAACUUUUUAGGCAACAUCUUAACUCCAAAAGAAGACGUUAUGUGAUCAUCUUUGUAAACGUUGUACGAGUAUAU
Molecule: non-coding RNA, 2514 nt
Organism: Momordica charantia (bitter melon)
Lineage: Eukaryota; Viridiplantae; Streptophyta; Magnoliopsida; Cucurbitales; Cucurbitaceae
Source: RefSeq, a predicted model, not a curated record